RNAcentral lists this small RNA (103 nucleotides) under Flavobacterium aquatile LMG 4008 = ATCC 11947. RNAcentral's name for it is "Flavobacterium aquatile LMG 4008 Flavo-1 RNA". It matches the Rfam family "Flavo-1 RNA". The record is from Rfam by way of RNAcentral. Lineage: Bacteria; Pseudomonadati; Bacteroidota; Flavobacteriia; Flavobacteriales; Flavobacteriaceae.
CGCAACUCCUGACAGCAAUGGAAAUCCUUUACAUAAAAAAACCUGUUUCGUGUUGAAACAGGUUUUUUUUAUGUAAAGAUUGUAAUGGAUGGCAGGAAAAUGG